RNAcentral lists this ribosomal RNA (834 nucleotides) under uncultured archaeon. RNAcentral describes it as "bacterial SSU rRNA". It matches the Rfam family "Archaeal small subunit ribosomal RNA", at positions 483 to 1318 of the family's 1478-position model. The record is from RNAcentral.
UCCGAGUGGUAGGGACGAUUAUUGGGCUUAAAGCGUCCGUAGCCGGCCCGGCAAGUCUUCCGUUAAAUCCAACGAUUCAAUCGUUGGACUGCGGGAGACACUGUUGGGCUAGGAGGCGGGAGAGGCCGACGGUAUUCUCGGGGUAGGGGUAAAAUCCUAUAAUCCCGGGAAGACCACCAGUGGCGAAGGCGGUCGGCUAGAACGCGCUCGACGGUGAGGGACGAAAGCUGGGGGAGCGAACCGGAUUAGAUACCCGGGUAGUCCCAGCUGUAAACGAUGCGGGCUAGGUGUUGGAGCGGCUACGGGCCGCUUCAGUGCCGCAGGGAAACCAUUAAGCCCGCCGCCUGGGGAGUACGGCCGCAAGGCUGAAACUUAAAGGAAUUGGCGGGGGAGCACCACAAGGGGUGAAGCUUGCGGUUUAAUUGGAGUCAACGCCGGAAAACUUACCGGGGGCGACAGCAGGAUGAAGGCCAGAUUGAAGGUCUUGCUGGACGAGCUGAGAGGAGGUGCAUGGCCGUCGCCAGUUCGUGCCGCGAGGUGUCCUGUUAAGUCAGGCAACGAUCGAGACCCACGCCCCCUGUUGCCACCGAGGAGGUUUCUCCAAGGGGCACUCUGGGGGGACUGCCGUCGAUAAGGCGGAGGAAGGAGUGGGCCACGGCAGGUCAGUAUGCCCCGAAUCCCCCGGGCCACACGCGAGCUGCAAUGGCUGGGACAGUGGGUUCCGACCUCGAGAGGGGGAGGUAAUCCCUAAACCCAGCCGUAGUUGGGAUCGAGGGCUGAAACUCGCCCUCGUGAACAUGGAAUCCCUAGUAAUCGCGCGUCAUCAUCGCGCGG